GAAGAGCGUUUUUGUGGCUCGUCCUGUGUAAACUUGUUAAUUUUCUCCUUUCAAGAUGCCGACGUCUCGGGAGAGAAUGUGCCGCUCGGAAAUGCAGGACAGAUGCCAGGGAAGUCCAGAACACAUUGACAUGUCUGCGUUGUUUGCAACAUGACUUUGUGACUUCAAGGCAUCUGAACAGAAUCUCCACUUCGAGUUCCAUUCCGGAAUAGGAAUGCGUGUGCUGGAUACCUGAUUCCAGACCAUGACACUGAUGUGCUUUCUGAAAAUUCAGGGUUUGCGCUCUGUGGUCAGUGGAAUUGCAACAUGGACUCAAACACACUGUGGACUGUCCUGAAACAAGAUGGCUGGUGUUCUGGGCUGCUCUAAGCUAUGCAUGUUUCCUCUGUAUGUGGCUGGGCAGGGAGCCGUGAUGGCAGCUAGACAGUACCAUCAAUGCAGUUGAAGCAGGAUGGAGUCUGAAGGACCUGACGGUGGUACCAGACUGGUCACUAGGAGACACUUGUUACUGCACUACCUCAAGGUCCUAACUGUUGUACUAGACUGGCCACUAGAAGGAAACUCUUUGCUGUGAAAUGAAGUCAAAGUUGACGUCCUAGUGAGUGCAGUCUUCAGGAAGUGUUCUGCCCCCCCCACCUGGUUGAGGUCCUAGUGUCUGCAGUCUAUGGAAAGCUCGUUGGCUGUUGAAGUGUUGCUGUCCUGGUGGAGUGGGAAGUGCUCGUGUUGUCCACCGGCUCGCACUCCUGUUUGGGCAGCAAGGAAGUGGGACAGUCUCGUUGGAACUGGGAAAACCAGGCCAAGUCAAUUCAACCCCUGACUAUGUGUUUUGCUGAAUAAAUAAAUCUACAAAUGUGA
Coregonus clupeaformis (lake whitefish) is the source of this 855-nucleotide long non-coding RNA. RefSeq lists it as uncharacterized. The transcript has 14 exons. NCBI's taxonomy places the organism in Eukaryota, Metazoa, Chordata, Actinopteri, Salmoniformes, Salmonidae. The record is from RefSeq and is a predicted model, not a curated record.